CAUCAUCAUAUUAAUGUAACAUGUAAAAAAAGGAAACAAUAACACAAUAUCUCAAUAAUAAGAUAAAUAUAUAUAAAAAAUCAAAACACCAACGGAAGCAACGGGUCAACAUCAAUGACAAUUAUUUAAUUAAUUGGUUUUAUAUGGGUCAUGGAGUAGGGAGAUCAUACCGACAUCCUAUUACAUCAAGUCGAAAUCGAAUCAUCGGAGGCAUUCUCUUUGAGCUCCCUCGUCGCCGCCGUCACAAAUCCUUUGUUUAAAUUCAUUCUCUUAGCCAUCGCCGCAACUACCAUCAUAUGAAAUUUAACAAUGCAUUUAUUGGAUAAUGCAUACCUCUCAUUAUCUACUAUUAGACCCUACUUUAUCUGAGACUCUGAUAGUUUUUCCCCAAUAAAUGCAUCCACGCUCUUCUUAAGGGAAGUGAAGUGUUUUUUAAUGCGUUUACAUUAUCCUAGAAAGUGACCAACUGAUUUCUAUGGAGUUGUAAUUGUAAGUCCCUAGUUCUGAUCAUUACUACAAAUAUUCUGGUCCUCGUCAACAAUAAGAAUAGUUUUAUUUGAGUGUAAGUCCUUCAGGAUUCCGGUUUGAGCAAGAGUAAACAUGAAUGACUGUACAUACAUUAGUAUUUUGUAUUUAUCUAUUAUUUCUUUGCAAUUUGAGUGAUUAAAAAUAUACGCUCUUCUUAAGUGAA
This 691-nucleotide long non-coding RNA is filed under the name Lepeophtheirus salmonis (salmon louse). RNAcentral's name for it is "uncharacterized LOC121118573". Lineage: Eukaryota; Metazoa; Arthropoda; Copepoda; Siphonostomatoida; Caligidae. The record is from RNAcentral.